This 393-nucleotide ribosomal RNA is filed under the name uncultured bacterium. RNAcentral describes it as "partial 16S ribosomal RNA". It matches the Rfam family "Bacterial small subunit ribosomal RNA", at positions 523 to 918 of the family's 1533-position model. The record is from RNAcentral.
AUACGGAGGAUGCGAGCGUUAUCCGGAUUUAUUGGGUUUAAAGGGAGCGUAGGUGGGAUAUUAAGUCAGCUGUGAAAGUUUGGGGCUCAACCUUAAAAUUGCAGUUGAUACUGGUUUCCUUGAGUACGGUACAGGUGGGCGGAAUUCGUGGUGUAGCGGUGAAAUGCUUAGAUAUCACGAAGAACUCCGAUCGCGAAGGCAGCUCACCGGGCCGGAACUGACACUGAUGCUCGAAAGUGCGGGUAUCAAACAGGAUUAGAUACCCUGGUAGUCCGCACAGUAAACGAUGAAUACUCGCUGUUUGCGAUACACGGUAAGCGGCCAAGCGAAAGCGUUAAGUAUUCCACCCGGGGAGUACGCCGGCAACGGUGAAACUCAAAUGAAUUGACGGGG